GGUCAAGUGAAGAAGCGCAUACGGUGGAUGCCUUGGCAGUCAGAGGCGAUGAAAGACGUGGUAGCCUGCGAAAAGCUUCGGGGAGUCGGCAAACAGACUGUGAUCCGGAGAUGUCUGAAUGGGGGAACCCAGCUGUCAUAAGACAGUUAUCUCAUGCUGAAUACAUAGGCAUGAGAGGCGAACCAGGGGAACUGAAACAUCUAAGUACCCUGAGGAAAAGAAAUCAACCGAGAUUCCCUUAGUAGUGGCGAGCGAACGGGGACCAGCCCUUAAGUUGGUUUGAGAUUAGCGGAACGCUCUGGAAAGUGCGGCCAUAGUGGGUGAUAGCCCUGUACGCGAAAAUCUCUUGUCAAUGAAAUCGAGUAGGACGGGGCACGAGAAACCUUGUCUGAAUAUGGGGGGACCAUCCUCCAAGGCUAAAUACUACUGACUGACCGAUAGUGAACUAGUACCGUGAGGGAAAGGCGAAAAGAACCCCGGAGAGGGGAGUGAAAUAGAUCCUGAAACCGUAUGCGUACAAGCAGUGGGAGCCCACUUUGUUGGGUGACUGCGUACCUUUUGUAUAAUGGGUCAGCGACUUAUAUUCAGUGGCGAGCUUAACCGAAUAGGGGAGGCGUAGCGAAAGCGAGUGUUAAUAGCGCGUUUAGUCGCUGGGUAUAGACCCGAAACCGGGCGAUCUAUCCAUGGGCAGGUUGAAGGUUGGGUAACACUAACUGGAGGACCGAACCGACUACCGUUGAAAAGUUAGCGGAUGACCUGUGGAUCGGAGUGAAAGGCUAAUCAAGCUCGGAGAUAGCUGGUUCUCCUCGAAAGCUAUUUAGGUAGCGCCUCAUGUAUCACUGUAGGGGGUAGAGCACUGUUUCGGCUAGGGGGUCAUCCCGACUUACCAAACCGAUGCAAACUCCGAAUACCUACAAGUGCCGAGCAUGGGAGACACACGGCGGGUGCUAACGUCCGUCGUGAAAAGGGAAACAACCCAGACCGUCAGCUAAGGUCCCAAAAUCCUGGUUAAGUGGGAAACGAUGUGGGAAGGCUUAGACAGCUAGGAGGUUGGCUUAGAAGCAGCCACCCUUUAAAGAAAGCGUAAUAGCUCACUAGUCGAGUCGGCCUGCGCGGAAGAUGUAACGGGGCUCAAACCAGGUACCGAAGCUACGGGUAUCAUCUUAGGGUGAUGCGGUAGAGGAGCGUUCUGUAAGCCUGUGAAGGUGAGUUGAGAAGCUUGCUGGAGGUAUCAGAAGUGCGAAUGCUGACAUGAGUAACGACAAUGGGUGUGAAAAACACCCACGCCGAAAGACCAAGGUUUCCUGCGCAACGUUAAUCGACGCAGGGUUAGUCGGUCCCUAAGGCGAGGCUGAAAAGCGUAGUCGAUGGAAAACAGGUUAAUAUUCCUGUACUUCUGGUUAUUGCGAUGGAGGGACGGAGAAGGCUAGGCCAGCUUGGCGUUGGUUGUCCAAGUUUAAGGUGGUAGGCUGAGAUCUUAGGUAAAUCCGGGAUCU
RNAcentral lists this ribosomal RNA (1496 nucleotides) under Pseudomonas sp. CFBP 8770. RNAcentral describes it as "partial 23S ribosomal RNA". It matches the Rfam family "Bacterial large subunit ribosomal RNA", at positions 1 to 1550 of the family's 2925-position model. Lineage: Bacteria; Pseudomonadati; Pseudomonadota; Gammaproteobacteria; Pseudomonadales; Pseudomonadaceae. The record is from RNAcentral.